GUGACCUGAAACUGUGUUAAAGCAGCUCCCCGAUUCAGUGGCUCUUACCUCGCUGCCUGUGUGGCCUGUAACUGAUGAUCCAGAGACUGACUGUUUACGCCACUAACGAUCUCCUCCACAGUCCAAUGCUGGAACGACUGCAGAGUGUAAAAAAAAAAACGGAGCGUGAUGACCCAGUGGCCUAAUGGAUAAGGCAUCAGCCUCCGGAGCUGGGGAUUGUGGGUUCGAGUCCCAUCUGGGUCGGAAACAUCACUCAUCCUACGUUUUGAGCUCCAAGAAAAGAAAACACCUUGUGAAAA
Molecule: long non-coding RNA, 299 nt
Organism: Tachysurus vachellii
Lineage: Eukaryota; Metazoa; Chordata; Actinopteri; Siluriformes; Bagridae
Exons: 2
Source: RefSeq, a predicted model, not a curated record